Molecule: ribosomal RNA, 443 nt
Filed under: uncultured Pseudoalteromonas sp.
Lineage: Bacteria; Pseudomonadati; Pseudomonadota; Gammaproteobacteria; Alteromonadales; Pseudoalteromonadaceae
Description: bacterial SSU rRNA
Rfam family: Bacterial small subunit ribosomal RNA
Source: RNAcentral
CGCACGAGCGCACCCCUAUCCUUAGUUGCUAGCAGGUAAUGCUGAGAACUCUAAGGAGACUGCCGGUGAUAAACCGGAGGAAGGUGGGGACGACGUCAAGUCAUCAUGGCCCUUACGUGUAGGGCUACACACGUGCUACAAUGGCGCAUACAGAGUGCUGCAAACUCGCGAGAGUAAGCGAAUCACUUAAAGUGCGUCGUAGUCCGGAUUGGAGUCUGCAACUCGGCUCCAUGAAGUCGGAAUCGCUAGUAAUCGUGGAUCGGAAUGCCACGGUGAAUACGUUCCCGGGCCUUGUACACACCGCCCGUCACACCAUGGGAGUGGGUUGCUCCAGAAGUAGAUAGUCUAACCCUCGGGAGGACGUUUACCACGGAGUGAUUCAUGACUGGGGUGAAGUCGUAACAAGGUAGCCCUAGGGGAACCUGGGGCUGGAUCACCUCCUU